GUACGGGAGGCAGCAGUGGGGAAUAUUGCGCAAUGGGGGAAACCCUGACGCAGCGACGCCGCGUGAGCGAUGAAGGCUUUCGGGUUGUAAAGCUCUGUUCUAAGGGACGAAUGCCUUGGUUGUGAAUAAUGAUCAAGGGUGACGGUACCUUAGGAGAAAGCCCCGGCUAACUACGUGCCAGCAGCCGCGGUAAUACGUAGGGGGCGAGCGUUGUCCGGAAUUACUGGGCGUAAAGAGCGUGUAGGCGGGUAUUUAAGUCAGGUGUGAAAGACCGGGGCUCAACUCCGGGAUUGCAUUUGAAACUGGAUAUCUUGAGGGCAGGAGAGGAAAGCGGAAUUCCUGGUGUAGCGGUGAAAUGCGUAGAUAUCAGGAGGAACACCGGUGGCGAAGGCGGCUUUCUGGACUGUCCCUGACGCUGAGACGCGAAAGCGUGGGGAGCAAACAGGAUUAGAUACCCCGGUAGUCCG
Molecule: ribosomal RNA, 467 nt
Filed under: uncultured bacterium
Lineage: Bacteria
Description: bacterial SSU rRNA
Rfam family: Bacterial small subunit ribosomal RNA
Source: RNAcentral